CAGCAGCCACGGUAAGACAGAGGAUGCAAGCGUUAAUCGGAUUUACUGGGCGUAAAGCGUGCGUAGGCGGCUUUUUAAGUCGGAUGUGAAAUCCCUGAGCUUAACUUAGGAAUUGCAUUCGAUACUGGGAAGCUAGAGUAUGGGAGAGGAUGGUAGAAUUCCAGGUGUAGCGGUGAAAUGCGUAGAGAUCUGGAGGAAUACCGAUGGCGAAGGCAGCCAUCUGGCCUAAUACUGACGCUGAGGUACGAAAGCAUGGGGAGCAAACAGGAUUAGAUACCCCUGUAGUCCCUGUCUCUUAUAC
This 301-nucleotide ribosomal RNA is filed under the name uncultured bacterium. RNAcentral describes it as "partial 16S ribosomal RNA". It matches the Rfam family "Bacterial small subunit ribosomal RNA", at positions 509 to 807 of the family's 1533-position model. The record is from RNAcentral.